Non-coding RNA from Lupinus angustifolius (narrow-leaved blue lupine), 119 nucleotides. The record is from Rfam. Lineage: Eukaryota; Viridiplantae; Streptophyta; Magnoliopsida; Fabales; Fabaceae.
AGGUGCGAUCAUACCUGCACUAAUGCACCGGAUCGCAUCAGCACUCCACUGUUAAGCGUGCUUGGGCGAGAGUAGUACUAGGAUAGGAGACCUCCUGGGAAGUCCUCGUGUUACACCUC